This 431-nucleotide ribosomal RNA is filed under the name uncultured soil bacterium. RNAcentral's name for it is "bacterial SSU rRNA". It matches the Rfam family "Bacterial small subunit ribosomal RNA", at positions 26 to 462 of the family's 1533-position model. The record is from RNAcentral.
AGAUUGAACGCUGGCGGCAUGCCUUACACAUGCAAGUCGAACGGUAGAGUAGCAAUACUUGAGAGUGGCGAACGGGUGAGUAAUAUAUCGGAACGUGCCCAGUCGUGGGGGAUAACGUAGAGAAAUUUACGCUAAUACCGCAUACGAUCUAAGGAUGAAAGCGGGGGACCGUAAGGCCUCGCGCGAUUGGAGCGGCUGAUAUCAGAUUAGGUUGUUGGUGAGGUAAAAGCUCACCAAGCCGACGAUCUGUAGCUGGUUUGAGAGAACGACCAGCCACACUGGGACUGAGACACGGCCCAGACUCCUACGGGAGGCAGCAGUGGGAAUUUUGGACAAGUGGGCGAAAGCCGUGAUCCAGACAAUGCCGCGUGCAGGAAGAACGGCCUUCGGGUAGUUAAACGUCGUACUUUUGUACGGAGACGUAAAAGGUU